Molecule: unclassified non-coding RNA, 235 nt
Filed under: Glomeraceae sp.
Lineage: Eukaryota; Fungi; Glomeromycota; Glomeromycetes; Glomerales; Glomeraceae
Description: partial contains 5.8S ribosomal RNA and internal transcribed spacer 2
Rfam family: 5.8S ribosomal RNA (bases 1-71)
Source: RNAcentral
GUGAAUCAUCAAAUCUUUGAACGCAAAUUGCGCUUCCUGGCAUCCCGGGAAGUAUGCCUGUUCGAGGGUCAGUUUUAAUAAAAAACCGGUUUUGUUACAAAUUGUUUCGCUUCCGUCGUUUGGGCUAUCUUAACAUUUUUGGUUAAGAGGCUUAAAAUUGACCUUUUUUGCGCAUUUUUAAACGUACAUAAAUUUUUUUUAUCCGUCUAUUCUUAAUGCAAUAUUCUUAUUAGAU